This 253-nucleotide ribosomal RNA is filed under the name uncultured bacterium. RNAcentral describes it as "partial 16S ribosomal RNA". It matches the Rfam family "Bacterial small subunit ribosomal RNA", at positions 524 to 776 of the family's 1533-position model. The record is from RNAcentral.
UACGAAGGGGGCUAGCGUUGUUCGGAAUUACUGGGCGUAAAGCGUGCGCAGGCGGCUCAUCAAGUCAGAGGUGAAAGCCCAGGGCUCAACCCUGGAACUGCCUUUGAAACUGUUGGGCUUGAGUACGGGAGAGGUGAGUGGAAUUCCGAGUGUAGAGGUGAAAUUCGUAGAUAUUCGGAAGAACACCAGUGGCGAAGGCGGCUCACUGGCUCGUUUCUGACGCUCAGGCGCGAUAGCGUGGGGAUCAAUCAGG